GAUGAACGCUGGCGGCGUGCCUAAUACAUGCAGGUCGAGCGAACGGACGAGAAGCUUGCUUCUCUGAUGUUAGCGGCGGACGGGUGAGUAACACGUGGAUAACCUACCUAUAAGACUGGGAUAACUUCGGGAAACCGGAGCUAAUACCGGAUGAUAUUUUGAACCGCAUGGUUCAAAAGUGAACGACGGUCUUGCUGUCACUUAUAGAUGGAUCCGCGCUGCAUUAGCUAGUUGGUAAGGUAACGGCUUACCAAGGCAACGAUGCAUAGCCGACCUGAGAGGGUGAUCGGCCACACUGCAACUGAGACACGGUCCAGACUCCUACGGGAGGCAGCAGUAGGGAAUCUUCCGCAAUGGGCGAAAGCCUGGCGGAGCAACGCCGCGUGAGUGAUGAAGGUCUUCGGAUCGUAAAACUCUGUUAUUAGGGAAGAACAUAUGUGUAAGUAACUGAGCACAUCUUGACGGUACCUACUCAGAAAGCCACGGCUAACUACGUG
Molecule: ribosomal RNA, 497 nt
Filed under: uncultured bacterium
Lineage: Bacteria
Description: partial 16S ribosomal RNA
Rfam family: Bacterial small subunit ribosomal RNA
Source: RNAcentral